This is a long non-coding RNA of Salvelinus sp. IW2-2015, 167 nucleotides long. RefSeq lists it as uncharacterized. NCBI's taxonomy places the organism in Eukaryota, Metazoa, Chordata, Actinopteri, Salmoniformes, Salmonidae. The record is from RefSeq and is a predicted model, not a curated record.
AUUUUCAGUGGUGGAAGAGACCCUACAGAGUUGCUGCAGUGUGUGUUCUGCUCGCUGUGAUUCUUGGCCUGUGGGAUUCCUAUGCAACUGCAGAGCGAGACCAGCUACAGAAUAGUCUAAAUACCAGGACUACAGAGAGAGACCAGCUACAGAAUAGUCUAAAUACC